AUAGAAAAGAAAACCAAUAAUCAACUUGUUUAAUCAUUUAUAAUUUAUAAACUCGUUUUCACUCAAGUACAUUCUAUUUCCUGAGUUAAUCCGAGUUACAGAGCAGUUCGUGAAAGUUAUUUAUCUUAGAAACAGGUAAGCAUCUAUAAAUAUCUAUGAUAUAAGUAGAAAGCGCUUUUUCGAUAAUAAAACGACUGUUUUCCCUCAUUUUCAAUGUGACAAUUAUAAGUCACGUUCAGAGGUUUUGCUAUGCGCAUUUCAGCAUUUCUCUGACCAAUGUGACUCGAAUCUUAACGACCGGUUACGUCAAAGAGGCAAUGAUUCUUUGAGUUACCUCGAACGUGCUUGGAAACUUGCUAAUGACGUUUUAACAACCUCUGACUUCGACGUAAGGACGUUAAGAUCAUCGAUUGUUUUAGAAUUAACUUGUUUAUUUAUGAUGUGACUUUGUCGACGAAUCAUCAAGGAUACUUUUUAUACACCUGUAUUUCCAGAUAUUAAUUUGUUUUAGGAUAACUGUACAUUAUUGGAACUGAAAGUCGAAUUCGCCACACCUUAGAGAGAAAGAAAACGUUAUAGAAGAGUUUGCUAAGUCACUCUAUCAAACCACAGAGAGAAAAAAUCCUAUCACCGAAACUAACGGUACUACAAUUAUGAUGAAGCUGUAGCUGUAACAAGAAAUAAUCUUUGGCGAAGAGACGACGAUGUGGCGACCUCACGAAAUACAUUCGACAAGGCCUCGACAUUCAACGAUCUGGAAGACUGAACAAUAACCAUGAAGACAACCGAGAAAACAACGAAACGGAACACUUUAAUCGCUCGAUUUUUUAGGGACAUUUUUUUGGUUUAUACAUAUGUAAGUAAAGUGACUCAACAACAUUUAAGCCGCAAGCAUACCGCCCACUUUUAGUACCGACCAUACUUGGUUGUACUACUGUUAAAAACACUUUUCCAGACACUCCUCGUGACGUCACGGAUGUGUUUGAAGGACGGUCGAGGACAAAGACAUCGCAAAAAAACAAAUUACUGAAGAUUGAAGAAUAAGAAGGUGUAAAGGAAACGAUGGGUUUGGUUGAGGAUGUGUUAAAUAAUCAAAAUUAGCAAGUUUUUAUUAGUAACUUUCGAAUUGCAAAAAAAAUCUUGAAGAUAUGUAAAUUUUUUGUUUCAAAAUUGCGAUUUUAACUAUUUUAUCUAUUUACAAUUUUUUUUCUUGGAGGAAAUGAUUUAAGAAUCUCCUUAGAAAUGUCGUAACACAAAUAGAAAAGCAGAGGUGAAACAGAAUCUCUGUGGUUUCUACAACGCUGACGUUCAUUAUGUUGUAAGCUGGUUUAAUUGAAAAAUGUAUAACUAAAAUGCGAAUAAGACUUUGUGAUUACAAUAUAGUUUAAGGCAUAAGAUAAUAAAAUUGAACUGCAACAAAACCGAUAAUAGUGUUGCAGAUGCGCCAAUGUGCACAAUACAAUGGAAUGACAAGAAAGGUGAAGAGUAUAAACAGUUUCGCCCACCAAAACUUAAAAACCUACAUGUUGCAUAUGAUUUAGAAUACUUCUAAAGAAUCUGCAUUGGGAGUUCUCAUACAUGUGGCGAUCGUCUUCGUUAGACUUUCAUGCAGAUUAACCGGGUAUUGAAAAACUACUGUCAAAAAAUCCCGAAAAGUCCCAAGCGGUGCGAAAACGCAUCCCUUAAGUCAGGUGAUAACACCGUUAGUUGUCCACAGCGUUCGAAAUAUACUGGAAUUUUUCGACGCAAAAUUUGAGGAACACAAUUGCGUUGUUUGGUUAAACUCAAAUGGUUAAUGAGGUAGAGCACCAAGAAACAUUAAAUUGAGGACUGAUAAUAAAACUCUUAAAAAGACACAGGAUACCCUAAUGAUUUUUGUGGAGUCUUACUACAGAACUAAUUAAAGGUCAUCUUAUUCAUUGCGAGUUAUGCUGACCAUUGAGACAAUGUAACUGGUGUGACAGAUCGAAUUUGUCGAAAAAGACAAACCUAAUUUUUUCCACAUGGAAGCGAAAAUUCGGUAAUUCUAGAACGUCAUUGCACUGAAGGAGCUUGUUUAAUGAAGCUAGAUAUGUGGGUAUUAUUCCAGACAGUGAGAUAAUGUAAAAAUCAUCCCUAAAUAACAGUGUCAAAAAAGCAAAUUAAUUCCAUCCAAUUAGAAAUAGCGGGAUGUAUCGAAAUCUUUGGGAAUCAACAAGACAUCAUUGUAGGAUAUGCAAUCGACAAUCUCAAGACCGCACACAUGUUACCUGAAGAUACAUAAAAUAGAACGACGUGCAUUCCGUCUAGGUGCAGUAAAGUCAAAUUCAACUGAGAAUGACAAGAUCAAACAUCCAAAUUGGAGUUUGCUUAUAACAAAAAUAGUGUACAGAACUAAAUUACUAACUAAUUUCUUCAAAUAAACUGUCUCGUAUGAUAAAGCAAGUGAAUUGAAAUUUUAUAUCUGAAAUCUAGGCCCUUCUACAAAUCCCUCAACAAUUUAUUACCCAAAAAAAUCAGCAGUAGUGCAAUUGGUGUUAACGUGUGAUGUCCAUUUAUAAUAAAACGAUUAUCUUACAAAUACAAUAAUUGCAAAGCCUG
RNAcentral lists this long non-coding RNA (2580 nucleotides) under Onthophagus taurus. RNAcentral's name for it is "uncharacterized LOC111423842, transcript variant X3". The record is from RNAcentral. Lineage: Eukaryota; Metazoa; Arthropoda; Insecta; Coleoptera; Scarabaeidae.